GCCAGCGUGGUGUAGUGAUCUGAGUGUUGGACUGUAACUCUGGAAACCAGGGUUCAAUUCCCAGCUUGGUCA
RNAcentral lists this transfer RNA (72 nucleotides) under Phrynosoma platyrhinos (Desert horned lizard). Its description in RNAcentral is "tRNA-OTHER". Lineage: Eukaryota; Metazoa; Chordata; Lepidosauria; Squamata; Phrynosomatidae. The record is from RNAcentral.